This 193-nucleotide unclassified non-coding RNA is filed under the name uncultured fungus. Its description in RNAcentral is "partial contains 18S rRNA, ITS1 and 5.8S rRNA". Lineage: Eukaryota; Fungi. The record is from RNAcentral.
AGGUGAACCUGCGGAAGGAUCAUUAAUGAAUUUAGAUUGAACCAUAGGCGAAAGCCAGUGGUUCUUCUUUCAUAUCCAUAACACCUGUGCACUGUUGGAUGCUUGCACCCACUUUUAAACUAAACAUUAUUGUAACAAAUGUAGUCUUAUUAUAACAUAAUAAAACUUUCAACAACGGAUCUCUUGGCUCUCG